Molecule: long non-coding RNA, 1670 nt
Organism: Eucalyptus grandis
Lineage: Eukaryota; Viridiplantae; Streptophyta; Magnoliopsida; Myrtales; Myrtaceae
Exons: 2
Source: RefSeq, a predicted model, not a curated record
CAGUGGCACUUUGUUAUUGUUCUAAAUUGAUACCCUCGAGAGUCCAUUCGUAGCUUGAUCAUUUUAUGUUCCUCCCUUAGUUAUUUCUUAAUGAUAAAAUAAUAUAUAUGUGCAAAUAUGUUAGAUUGGAAUUUCCAUGCAUUAUUAUACUGUAAAGGGUUUGUUCCCAUUAUUCAUUCAUAAAAUAUGGCUAUGGUUGACAAUAACAGUAAUCUUGCUGUAUUAUUCCGAUGUUUAAGGUUUUUCAUUUGCUAUUGUGCUCUGUCUGGAACAAUAUUACAGUCUUUAUCUGCUUUGGUGAAGUUCCUAAUGUUGUUUUCUUAGGCUUUGUGGUAUUUAGACUUUUGGUAUACAUUUUUGGUAUGAAAAUGCAAUUUGAGCAUUGUAUUGCCUUUAAUGAUGUAAGAACCUGCUCCUCGGCCUCUUUUCUUCAUACAGUGACCACAUUUACACAAGUAGUUGGAGCCUAGUUUCUAGUAGACGUCUCUUAUCUAAGUCUAUCGCUGUCAUCAUUUAUAGCUAUGUUGUGACAAUAUGCUACUAUGGAUGACUCUGUGGAUAGAAAUGGAUAGUUGAUACCAAAAUAUGUGGCCCUUUUAGUAUCUUGGUGGAGAAUUAUUCAAAACCAAAGGCACCUUGCUACAGGGAUAUAUAUAUAUAUAUAUAUAUAACAAAAUACUGUUAGAAAAGGUGGAGGUGGCUAAUCCAAUGAGAAGCCUCUUUUUUCAUGUGAGAUUCUUGGCAACUUCAAAUGAGCAUCUUGUUGACUUCAUGUAGUAUAUGCCUAAUCAAUCUUAUAUAUAGUCUCAAACAGUUAGCUGAAACAAGAACACAUUUCUCAUGAAAUGCACUAACUAAAUUUAUGUUGAACUACAGUAAGAAAAACUGUCUCUCUGACAUAGCUCCUAAAUUUGAUAUGCUUGCUUUGUUUCUUCCUUGUGCUUUCGUGGGCAACAAGACAUGCAGAGAUGGAAGCUCUUGAUGUUCUUCUUGACAGUGGCACUGGAUUUUUGGCUAUGGAAGUAUAGAGAAGCUUUCAGCAUCCUCCUUCAUGUGACAUGUGAACCAUAAUUUGUGUUACAGCUUUAUCAAUUAUAUGUACAUCUAUUGAUCAUACUGAAGCAAAACUAACCUCUCCUAGAAUCUGUUUAUUCCUAUGAUUAGAUGACUCUUAAUCCUUUGUUAGGCAUAAAGAAAGUAUGUCAUGGCUGUGCAAAUGAUAAAUAUGGAGGCGGUGCUCAACACUACCGUUGCAUUCAAGUAGCCCCAAGGCAUGGAUAUGAAAAGGAUGCUGAUGCAUCUACGGUCUGGAGCGACGGUUCAAGAUGGCCAAAAGUGAUGACUAACAUACCAGUGCCGUGAGACCGAUGAGACUUUGCCAUUACUUGCAACAAAAGGACAACCGAGUAUAACCUUAUUGCCGCAUCGAGCAAUGUUCAGAGAUAAACUGAAUUCAACGAUUCCCAUUUUGUAGCUUUGUGCAUCUUAGCCUUGAUUGCCAUCUUCUCCAAAGCACGUGAAUUACGAAGAAGAAACUGCACUAGAGGAAGCCACUGUUUCAGCUCCAAACACAUGUAACACUAAAACCAACAAUCUCUGCACUCCCCAGAUGCUUCGUUAAAUACUCAAAUUCCUUGUUUCGUGACACAAUACAAUUCCUUUUUAUCAUA